RNAcentral lists this ribosomal RNA (410 nucleotides) under uncultured Olsenella sp. RNAcentral describes it as "bacterial SSU rRNA". It matches the Rfam family "Bacterial small subunit ribosomal RNA", at positions 505 to 918 of the family's 1533-position model. The record is from RNAcentral. Lineage: Bacteria; Bacillati; Actinomycetota; Coriobacteriia; Coriobacteriales; Atopobiaceae.
GUGCCAGCAGCUGCGGUAAUACGUAGGGGGCAAGCGUUAUCCGGAUUCAUUGGGCGUAAAGCGCGCGUAGGCGGCCUAUUUGGUCGGGAGUUAAAACCGGGGGCUCAACCCCCGUCCGCUUCCGAUACCGGUAGGCUUGAGUCUGGUAGGGGAAGGUGGAAUUCCCAGUGUAGCGGUGGAAUGCGCAGAUAUUGGGAAGAACACCGGUGGCGAAGGCGACCUUCUGGGCCAUGACUGACGCUGAGGCGCGAAAGCUAGGGGAGCGAACAGGAUUAGAUACCCUGGUAGUCCUAGCCGUAAACGAUGGAACACUAGGUGUGGGAGGGUGUUCCGUUCCGUGCCGCAGCUAACGCAUUAGGUGUCCCGCUGGGAGUACGGCCGCAAGGCAAAACUCAAAGGAAUUGACGGGG